GCAGAAUUCGCCCUUAGAGUUUGAUCCUGGCUCAGGAUAAACGCUGGCGGCGUGCCUUAUGCAUGCAAGUCGAACGGUCUCGACUUAUCGAGAUAGUGGCGAACGGGUGAGUAACACGUAAGCAACCUACCCUCAAGUAGGGGAUAACUCUGAGAAAUUGGAGCUAAUACCUUAUGUGGUGAUGGGGGUAAGGCUUCAUCAGUAAAGUCUUAGGGCGCUUGAGGAGGGGCUUGCGGCCGAUUAGCUAGUUGGUAGGGUAAUGGCUUACCAAGGCGACGAUCGGUAGCUGGUUUGAGAGGAUGUCCAGCCACACUGGGAUUGAGAUACGGCCCAGACUCCUACGGGAGGCAGCAGCAAGGAAUAUUGUGCAAUGGGCGAAAGCCUGACACAGCGACGCCGCGUGGGGGAUGAAGGCUUUCGGGUUGUAAACCCCUUUUCUCAGGGAAGAAUAAUGACGGUACCUGAGGAAUAAGCCUCGGCUAACUACGUGCCAGCAGCCGCGGUAAUACGUAGGAGGCUAGCGUUAUCCGGAUUUACUGGGCGUAAAGAGGGUGUAGGCUGCUUUUCAAGUCGGAUGUAAAAUCUCCCGGCUCAACUGGGAUGGAUCAUCCGAUACUGUUGGGCUAGAGAGCAGCAGAGGGAGGUGGAAUUCCCGGUGUAGUGGUGAAAUGCAUAGAUAUCGGGAGGAACACCAGUGGCGAAGGCGGCCUCCUGGGCUGUUUCUGACGCUGAGGCCCGAAAGCGUGGGUAGCGAACAGAAUUAGAUACUCUGGUAGUCCACGCCGUAAACGAUGGACACUAGGUAUGGCGAGUAUCGGCCCUCUCCGUGCCGAAGCUAACGCGUUAAGUGUCCCGCCUGGGGAGUACGGCCGCAAGGCUAAAACUCAAAGGAAUUGACGGGGGCCCGCACAAGCAGCGGAGCGUGUGGUUUAAUUCGAUGCAACGCGAAGAACCUUACCAAGGCUUGACAUGUUGGAAGUAGUAACCCGAAAGGGAAGCGACCUGUUAAGUCAGGAGCCAUCACAGGUGCUGCAUGGCUGUCGUCAGCUCGUGCCGUGAGGUGUUGGGUUAAGUCCCGCAACGAGCGCAACCCUCGUUGCCAGUUGUUUUCUCUGGCUAGACUGCCCCGCAAGACGGGGAGGAAGGUGAGGAUGACGUCAAGUCAGCAUGGCCCUUAUGCCUUGGGCUACACACACGCUACAAUGGGUGGUACAGAGGGUAGCAAAGGAGCAAUCCGGAGCCAAUCCCACAAAGCCAUCCUCAGUUCGGAUUGCAGGCUGAAACUCGCCUGCAUGAAGUUGGAGUUGCUAGUAACCGCAGGUCAGCACACUGCGGUGAAUACGUUCUCGGGCCUUGUACACACCGCCCGUCACGUCAUGAAAGUUGGCAACACCUGAAGUCGAUGGGCUAACUCUAACUUGUUAGGGAGGCAGUCGCCUAGGGUGGGGUCAAUGAUUGGGACGAAGUCGUAACAAGGUAACCAAGGGCGAA
RNAcentral lists this ribosomal RNA (1491 nucleotides) under uncultured bacterium. RNAcentral describes it as "bacterial SSU rRNA". It matches the Rfam family "Bacterial small subunit ribosomal RNA". The record is from RNAcentral.